RNAcentral lists this long non-coding RNA (254 nucleotides) under Nicotiana benthamiana. Its description in RNAcentral is "long non-coding RNA (NBEN_LNC023553)". The record is from RNAcentral. Lineage: Eukaryota; Viridiplantae; Streptophyta; Magnoliopsida; Solanales; Solanaceae.
UUUCUUAGGACUUAUUUGACGUCGAGGACAUAUAUUAGAUAAUUUUGAGCCGGGUCCGUCCUGACCAAAAAUUUGCGAUUUGCGUGGAUUUCUGGUUCUAUGGACGUAAAACGCCCGAAAAAUACCAAAAAUGCAAUUUUAUCGUUUAGGAAGGGUGAAAAUAUUUUCUAAGGCCGUAUUUGACGUCAAGGACAAAUAUUCUGCGAUUCCGAGCCGGGUCCGUCCAGGCCCAAAAUUUGCGACUCGCGCGGAUU